This 253-nucleotide ribosomal RNA is filed under the name uncultured bacterium. Its description in RNAcentral is "partial 16S ribosomal RNA". It matches the Rfam family "Bacterial small subunit ribosomal RNA", at positions 524 to 776 of the family's 1533-position model. The record is from RNAcentral.
UACGAAGGGUGCAAACGUUGCUCGGAAUUAUUGGGCGUAAAGCGCACGUAGGCGGCUUAGCAAGUCGGAUGUGAAAUCCCUCGGCUCAACCAAGGAAGUGCAUCCGAAACUGCUGAGCUUGAGUACGAAAGAGGAUCGCGGAAUUCCCGGUGUAGAGGUGAAAUUCGUAGAUAUCGGGAGGAACACCAGUGGCGAAGGCGGCGAUCUGGGUCGAUACUGACACUGAGGCACGAAAGCGUGGGGAGCAAACAGG